GUAACUAGUAGUCUAGUAACGCGCACAUUGGCCCCCGGUCUGUCUGUAUCGCUCGGGGCGCUUCCGUUCGACUAAUAAAAUGACAAGAGACAGAAAUCAGAAAGAAGAAGAAAUUUGACAAACUAUGGUGUGGGCUCUCUUUCCUAUAGACCCUGUCUCAGGUGAAGAUAAGUACUAUAUAUUUGCAAGGGGAACUUACAAAGUAGGUCGCAAAGGAGCUCAUAUUACUCGCAGGCUGGCUCAAGAGUGCACACAUGUGCUUGUUGAUCAACUCAGGCCAGUGAAAGAGGAUUUGCUUGAUGCCAUUGUAUCAAAAAACCUAUUGUUCUUAGUAGUUGGGAACUAACAUUAAACAUCUUGAAUUACUUCUCUGGGAUAUAACUGUGUUGUUAACUUAUAAUUGACAGCAUACUUAUCAAAUAAUUUCUUUCCAGAGUACGGUUUUG
Long non-coding RNA from Quercus lobata, 446 nucleotides. RefSeq lists it as uncharacterized. The transcript is spliced from 3 exons. Lineage: Eukaryota; Viridiplantae; Streptophyta; Magnoliopsida; Fagales; Fagaceae. The record is from RefSeq and is a predicted model, not a curated record.